RNAcentral lists this ribosomal RNA (369 nucleotides) under uncultured Psychrobacter sp. RNAcentral describes it as "bacterial SSU rRNA". It matches the Rfam family "Bacterial small subunit ribosomal RNA", at positions 446 to 813 of the family's 1533-position model. The record is from RNAcentral. Lineage: Bacteria; Pseudomonadati; Pseudomonadota; Gammaproteobacteria; Moraxellales; Moraxellaceae.
CUCUAUGGUUAAUACCCAUAGACGAUGACAUUAGCUGCAGAAUAAGCACCGGCUAACUCUGUGCCAGCAGCCGCGGUAAUACAGAGGGUGCAAGCGUUAAUCGGAAUUACUGGGCGUAAAGCGAGCGUAGGUGGCUUGAUAAGUCGGAUGUGAAAUCCCCGGGCUUAACCUGGGAACUGCAUCUGAUACUGUUAAGCUAGAGUAGGUGAGAGGGAAGUAGAAUUUCAGGUGUAGCGGUGAAAUGCGUAGAGAUCUGAAGGAAUACCGAUGGCGAAGGCAGCUUCCUGGCAUCAUACUGACACUGAGGCUCGAAAGCGUGGGUAGCAAACAGGAUUAGAUACCCUGGUAGUCCACGCCGUAAACGAUGUC